This 372-nucleotide ribosomal RNA is filed under the name uncultured organism. RNAcentral describes it as "bacterial SSU rRNA". It matches the Rfam family "Bacterial small subunit ribosomal RNA", at positions 526 to 896 of the family's 1533-position model. The record is from RNAcentral.
CGAGGGGGGCAAGUGUUGUUCGGAAUCACUGGGCGUAAAGGGAGCGUAGGCGGAUGUUUAAGUCGGGAGUUUAAAACCGGGGCCCAACCUCGGAGCGGCUCCCGAAACUGGGCAUCUUGAAUAGGUCAGAGGCUGGUGGAAUUGGAGGUGUAGCGGUGGAAUGCGUAGAGAUCUCCAAGAACACCUAUUGCGAAGGCAGCCAGCUGGGACCAUAUUGACGCUGAGGCUCGAAAGCAUGGGGAGCAAACAGGAUUGGAUACCCUGGUAGUCCAUGCCGUAAACGAUGAACACUAGGUUUUGGGCUCGUCAACGGUCCAGAGCCGCAGCUAACGCGUUAAGUGUUCCGCCUGGGGAAUACGGUCGCAAGGACUG